Delphinapterus leucas (beluga whale) is the source of this 116-nucleotide small nuclear RNA. Its record names the gene U5. It matches the Rfam family "U5 spliceosomal RNA". From Rfam's summary of the family: U5 RNA is a component of both types of known spliceosome. The precise function of this molecule is unknown, though it is known that the 5' loop is required for splice site selection and p220 binding, and that both the 3' stem-loop and the Sm site are important for Sm protein binding and cap methylation. NCBI's taxonomy places the organism in Eukaryota, Metazoa, Chordata, Mammalia, Artiodactyla, Monodontidae. The record is from Ensembl.
AUACUCUGGUUUCUCUUCAGAUCAUAUAAAUCUUUCGCUAUUUACUAAAGAUUUCCACGGAGAGGAACAAUUCUGAGUAUUUACCCAAUUUUUUGAGGCCUUACUCUUGUGAGGCA